This 481-nucleotide ribosomal RNA is filed under the name uncultured bacterium. RNAcentral describes it as "partial 16S ribosomal RNA". It matches the Rfam family "Bacterial small subunit ribosomal RNA", at positions 28 to 507 of the family's 1533-position model. The record is from RNAcentral.
GACGAACGUUGGCGGCGUGCUUAAUACAUGCAAGUCAACUGAAGCAGUGGUAGCAAUAUCGCUGUGGAGGUGGCGCACGGGUGAGUAACACGUAGGUCAUCUGCCUUCAGGUCUGGCAUAACUCCGGGAAACCGGGGCUAAUAGCAGAUGAUGCAGCGGCUCGACAUCGUGACAGUUGUUAAAGCUAUGGCGCCUGAGGAUGAGGCUGCGUCUGAUUAGCUAGUUGUCGGGGUAACGGCCGACCAAGGCAACGAUCAGUAGCUGGUCGGAGAGGAUGAUCAGGAACACUGGAACUGAGACACGGACCAGACUCCUACGGGAGGCAGCAGUAAGGAAUAUUGCUCAAUGGGAGAAAUCCUGAAGCAGCACCGCAGCGAGAGGGACGAAGGGCUUGUGCUUGUAAACCUCUGUAGUGAGAGAAAAAAGUCCCAAUCUAGGGGACAUGAUGGUACCUCAAAAGUAAGCCCCGGCUAACUACGUG